GAUGAACGCUGGCGGCGUGCCCAAUACAUGCAAGUCGAGCGGACCAAAGAGAGCUUGCUCUCUGAGGUUAGCGGCGGACGGGUGAGUAACACGUGGGUAACCUGCCUGUAAGACGGGGAUAACUUCGGGAAACCGAAGCUAAUACCGGAUGAUAAAGAGAAACGCCUGUUUCUCUUUUGAAAGUCGGCCUUGUGCUGACGCUUACAGAGGGGCCCGCGGCGCAUUAGCUAGUUGGUGAGGUACCGGCUCACCAAGGCGACGAUGCGUAGCCGACCGGAGAGGGGGAUCGGCCACACUGGGACUGAGACACGGCCCAGACUCCUACGGGAGGCAGCAGUAGGGAAUCUUCGGCAAUGGACGAAAGUCUGACCGAGCAACGCCGCGUGAGCGAUGAAGGCCUUCGGGUCGUAAAGCUCUGUUGUCAGAGAAGAACAAGUACCGGAGUAACUGCCGGUACCUUGACGGUACCUGACCAGAAAGCCACGGCUAACUACGUGCCAGCCGCCGCGGUAA
Molecule: ribosomal RNA, 513 nt
Filed under: uncultured bacterium
Lineage: Bacteria
Description: partial 16S ribosomal RNA
Rfam family: Bacterial small subunit ribosomal RNA
Source: RNAcentral